Molecule: small RNA, 414 nt
Filed under: Histoplasma capsulatum var. duboisii H88
Lineage: Eukaryota; Fungi; Ascomycota; Eurotiomycetes; Onygenales; Ajellomycetaceae
Description: Histoplasma capsulatum H88 hypothetical RNA
Source: RNAcentral
UUUAAUAUGGCCCUUGCAUGAAACGAUUUGUACAUCGGAUGUGAUUCCUUUCCGAAAAAUCUGUUGAUUCGAGCUGAGAGUAGUAGGUUGAUUGGCGACAGAAUUUUUUAAUUUUUAAUUUCUUCUAUUUUAUUUUAUGUUUUGACGAACAAACACUCUGUGCGGGAGGAAGCCUGGAGCAUCCAAGAAAACAACAGCACCGAAGGACCAAAAAAAAAAAAAAAAAAAACUUCGUGCCAAAAAGUCAGCCACGAGAACGGCUAGGGCUGAGUAUUAACCCUAAUUCCUAGUUAAUUGACUAGUUACAAGUAUCUGAGCCACCCAGAAAUCCAAAGGAGACAGCCCGCCCAUCUUCCUCCGCGUCGAUCGGAUCAGGACAGUUUUUCGGAACAGACUUGAUCUAAUAUGACAAUG